UACGGGGGGGGCAAGCGUUGUUCGGAAUUACUGGGCGUAAAGGGCUUGUAGGCGGCCAACUAAGUCAGACGUGAAAUCCCUCGGCUUAACCGGGGAACUGCGUCUGAUACUGGAUGGCUUGAGAUUGGGAGAGGGAUGCGGAAUUCCAGGUGUAGCAGUGAAAUGCGUAGAUAUCAGGAGGAAUACCGAUGGCGAAGGCAGGUCUCUGGGCUGACACUGACGCUCAUGCACGAAAGCGUGGGGAGCAAACAGG
Molecule: ribosomal RNA, 253 nt
Filed under: uncultured bacterium
Lineage: Bacteria
Description: partial 16S ribosomal RNA
Rfam family: Bacterial small subunit ribosomal RNA
Source: RNAcentral